UUGGAGCUGGCACAGCGCUGUGAAAACUUCAAUUUACUGUCAGCUAUUAUCAGAGGACACGUGAGGGAAACAAAUAAAAACAGAAACCCUCAAAAUGAAACUGCCAAUACGCUCAUUUACAGUCAUUAAGUAAUUUCCUGUAAAUCGGAAUAUAUAGACACCUUA
This is a long non-coding RNA of Etheostoma cragini (Arkansas darter), 165 nucleotides long. RefSeq lists it as uncharacterized. The record is from RefSeq and is a predicted model, not a curated record. The transcript is spliced from 3 exons. Lineage: Eukaryota; Metazoa; Chordata; Actinopteri; Perciformes; Percidae.